This 6104-nucleotide long non-coding RNA is filed under the name Marmota monax (woodchuck). The record is from RNAcentral. Lineage: Eukaryota; Metazoa; Chordata; Mammalia; Rodentia; Sciuridae.
AAAGCAUAUUUUAUUCAACCUAACUAAAUAAUGCUAAUUUCCAAGGUGCUUGCAGCAGAGCUAUGGAAAGCCUACCUAGAGGGCAAGUGCGUGGAGUUGCUCCAGAGACGCUUGGAGAAUGGGAAGGAGACACUGUGACGCAAAGGUAAGAGCUGCCACAAGGCAAUUUCCCCAUCUGUGGGGUGGGGCGUCUCCUCAGAGGGGAGGAAAAUGAGAUCCUAGUAGAAUACUGUCUUUAUCAACAGGGGGGAAGUAGAGUGCUCCUGGGUUUUCAGAUCCAGUAGCAGAGAAUGACUCACCUCAGGGCCCACUUUUUCUUCUCUCAGGACAAUUGGGAAUCUGUGACUGUGAAAAAGAGGGUAGAUCCCUGAAAUAACUGAUCAGCGGUUCCCUUUGAUUCUGGGAACAGAUUGUGAAUCAUGACCUCUCUCAGGCCUUGUUCUCUGUGCUACACCCAAUGUCUUUGGAGAUCUGAUUGCAGUGAUUCUGAGUCUUUCAGCCUCUUCCACCCAGUCAGGACCCUUUACAAUCCCUCAAAUACCUGGAGCUUCCUGCCCUGAUUCUACAACUUUCUAAGAAAUAGAUUAUUCCUUUUGCCUGUGUGUAGGCUAGCAUGUGGGGGUUUGUUGUUGUGGUUUUUUUGUAUUUGGCUUAUAUCUUUUACUAUUCAAAACACAGUAUAUUCCAGCAAAGAGUUAGUAUAAGAACUGUUUUAUCAAAUCAAUUUAGUAAUACUCCAAUUUUCAAUGGCUUCUUCAGAAGUCUAUUGUUGCAGUUAACACACAGGCAAAGCAAUUAUAACGUGGGGUCCCAAAAUAUUGUGGUUUAGACUGUGGCUUAUUUAAGUCUCACAUGGGAAUUCAGUUCAACUCCACACAGUUAUUUAAGGAUAUAGCUUCUUCCAUUUUGUGGUUCUUUAUCUUCAUCUGCAUGGUCAAGUUGAAACUCAGGCACAGUAGCAUGGGAAGUAGUAGCACUUACAAGUAGUUUAUCCUCGUAAGUUAUGAAAUGUUAAGUUGAUACUUCACUUCUGUUCGUGUUCAGUUGGUGGUAACAGUCAUGUGGCUACAUGUAGCUUCAAGUGGUGGUCAGGAUAUACAGAUUUAGCAGAGCAGGUAUUGUUUAGUGUUGGGGUUUGGCAUUCCCCUAUACCAGUUGUCCUAUUCAUUCUCAGGUUGGACACUUGAGUGAUGCUGGAGUGACCCACAGAGAAUUCAGAGUACCUAAAAUUUGUCAUUCUUCUUCCCAGGCCCCCAAAGACACAUGUAACUCACACCCUAGCCCUGAAGGAGCUGUCACCCUGAAGUGCUGGGCCCUGGGUUUCUGCCCUAAGGAUAUCACUCUGAUCUGGCAGUGGUAUGAGGAGGAUCAGACCCAGGACAUGGAGCCUGUAGAGACCAGGCCUGCAGGAGAUGGAAGCUUCCAGAAAUGGGCAGCUGUGGUGGUGCCUUCAGGAGGGGAGCAGAAAUCACAUACCUUGUGCAGCAUGAGGGGUUGCCCGAACCCCUCCCCUGAGAUGGGGUCAGGAGGGGAUGAGGGCACGGAGCUUAUUUUCAUGAAAAGCAGGAGCCAUUCUGGAGCCUCUUCGUAGGUCAGGGCUGAAAGCUGGGGGUCAGAGCUCCUCACCUUCCCCUCUGUUGGCUUCACAGAGCCACCUCCUCAGCCCUCUGUCUCCAUCAAGGGAAUCAUUGUUGGCCUGGUUCUGGUUCUUCUCAGAGCUGUGGACAUUGGAGUUGUGGUGGUUGUUGUGAUGAAGUGGAGGAAGAAGCAGGUAGAGGAGGAUCUGGGUCUGAAUUUUCUUAUUUCAGGCCCCGGGUAGAAGUGUGUCCUGCCUCAUUAAUAGAAAGUACAACCCACACAUACAUGUUUAUACAGCCUGGGGCUGUUUGCUGACAUCCUAUCAUAAAGCACAUGAAAAAUAAAAGACAGAUUUUGCACCCUGAUGAUCUUUGUGAUGGGGACCUGAUUCCCAGCAGUCAGAGGUCAGAAGGGAAGGUCCCUGCUGAGGGCAAACCUCUGGGAGAGCAGAUGGCUCAGUACCUCUAAUCUCCUUUCCCCAUGCCUCCUGGUCAUUUCCUGGGUCUGAAAUCAUGUUCUGGCAACAUCCUUUGAGUGUUAGUACUAGGGGCUUCCUACAGGGCCUUCAUGGCCCUCCUCCUUGCUGACCUCUCACAGGUAGAAAAGAAGGGAGGAGCUACACUCGGGCUCCAUAUAAGUAUGGCGAAAGGGAUGAUCCUUAGGAUUGCAUAGGCAGAAGUCCAUGGGGAAUAUCACCCAUCCCAUAAUUCUUCCUUCAGCCAGUUCUCUUUUGCCCUCUGAAUAUAUCUAGUUGUUUUUCUGUUCCAGGGAGGGACAGUUUCCAGGGCUCUGAUGCGUCUCUCACGGCAUAAAGGUGAGACUCUGCAGGGCCUGAUGUUGGAGAGGGGAUGGGACAGAGAAGACCAAACUGGGUUCCAGGACUUUCUGAAUUUGACCCUUUUGAGUGAGUGAAGCUUUGUUCAGCUGUUGCCACUAAUAGCGCUUGACCUGAAUUUGUUCUUGAUUAUUUUGUUCUGUAGUCUGAGACAGCUGCUUUGUUUGGGACUGAAAGAAGAUUUGUUCAAGCCUCCUCUUUGUGGCUCUAAGAACUCCUGGAUUCUCUUCCUGCAAAGUGUCUAAAUGUGUCUGUGUCCUUGUUGGCAUAAUGUGAGAAGGUGGGGAGACCAGAGCAACCCUACCCACCAGGACCCCAUCCCAAUACUGACCUAUGUUCUUUUCCACAGUCAACUUUCCUGUUCCAACAAAGGUAUGACUUAGAGGACUCCAUCACCGACUCAAGUACACUGAUCUUCAAGUUUUUAUUUCUGUACAGAAAAUAAGAAUCUAAAUAUAAAAUUGAUUUUUAAACAGUUGGAGUUAUUUGAAAUGAGGGGUUGAUUGCUUAAUGAAAGAAAAAGAUGCCUGAAAUUUGAGGAAGGAAAUAAAUUAGAGCACUGAGAACCAUCCACAGUCUGUUUUUGCUGUGCUGAGUCUGUUGCAGAUGGGGACAGAAGACUGUGAGGAGCAGAGAGUGAUUGGGACUGUGCCCAGUCAGUGCUCAGUCCAUGCUGGACUUUGGUCAUCGUCCCUGCUCCUUUCUCUUUGCCCCUCUGGUAAAACUUCUACAAUCUGUGAUCACAGGGAUACAGGAAUUGCCAGGACCAUGGGUAGCAAGGGCUUUCUGUGGCCAGGUUGUUGGGUAGGGGCUCAGAACUAGGAAACAGAUUCAGUGUCCCAACAGGUGGAAGAAGAUGCAAGAAGCAGUUAGGAUAGUAGACAUGCUUUAUUCAGAGGUGACAACAGCCUCUAGCUUCAGCUUUAGCCCCCAGCCAGUUCCAUUUUACCCCCGUUAGUUUAGCCCUGGUUAGUUCCAUUUAGCCCCCAAGUCUUUUCCUUUGGCUCUUUUUAUAUGCAGGCCAACAAAAGAAGGCACACUGCCAACAAGUCACAUAAGUGGGUGUGUGCUCACAAGCAGAAUGUGUAUGACUUUGAGUAUAUAUGUUGAAUCAGAGUGUUUCUGACUUUGGUUACACUGACCAUAGCAUAGAUGAUUCAUGGUUUUGGUCGCACACUAAAAGCACGACAUAGCUUGCCAGAAGCCUAGGUGAGUGAGCCUAAUUAUGGCCAUUUGGGGCCUGCUCCAACACCAGGCCAGCCUAAGUUCAGCCCCUGGUGUGGUCUUCAGCCCAUGACUUUUGUGUUUAUUUCUUGCUUCUCAUAGAGGAUUAUGUCUGUUCUUGUUCUUGGGUAUGAUGCUGGUCUCCUUGUUCUCUAGUGUCCUUCAUUUUUGAUAGCAGCAAGAGGAGUUUUUCCUGUCAUUGUUCUCAUAAGGCCCCUGCAAACAGGAGUCUCUGUGGUAUCAAGAGAUGAGUUUUCACAGUAUGAUCUUCUGCCCUCCUUACAAGGUUGCUUCCUUGUUUGUGUUCUUUCCUUCUUUCCCUGAAUAUUUAAAAAUUGAAUUAUAGAGUCUAGGAUUAGUCAAGGGGAGAGAUCCUGUUGUUUCUCUUUUUAGGUAAAUUCCUUUUGAAAUUCUUUUUUCUGCUCUCCUGGCCUACCCCUCUCCAUGCCUUUAGCUCUAGUAAUCCUAGUGCUGGCUCCUGUCUAAACUGAAGUGUUUAUAGGACAGAGUAUAAUUCAUAUUUAUAUAUAUUUUGGAAAAUAGAUCCAAAUGUCAAGGACUUUUCUUUGCUGAAGGUGUAAGUGUGAGCAUGCACUGUGUAGAGCAGGAGCAGGAGGGCUGUUUUGGGAGGGAGUGUAAGAGGGAGGGCAGCGGUUGUGAGAAAAUCCCAGGCAUCCCCAAUGUCAGUGUAAGGACAGUUUUGCUGCAGCUGCCAUGGGGAGUCUGAGACUGAGACUCCUUCAAUAAAGAUAGAGGGAGGUGCUCUACAGGAAUCAUUUAUUCAAUUGACACUUAUUGUGUGUCAGAUAUGUGACAGUAUUUUUUGCAUCUGUGAAUCUCAUUAGAGGAGAAACAAAAAAUGCUGGCCUCGUGGAGCAUGGUCCUAGUGGGAAGAGGCUGAGGAUACACUGUGCAGAGACAAGAGAAAAACUUGAAAGCAAAUGAGAAAAAACUCACCACACACAAGGGGUUCCCAUUAAGAUUAAUAACCAGUUUCUCAUCAGCAACCAUUGAAGUAGAAGGCAAUGGGAUGACAUAUGGAACGGGCUGAAAGACUAAAACUGUCAACCACAAACUCUCUUUCCUGGUAGACUGUCCUUCAAAAAUGAAGAUACAAUUAUUAGUUUAGAUGAGGCUAAGGACAUGUGUUCCCUUGUUUUCCCUGUGCAGCUACACUGAUUAAGAUUCCUUGGUUCCUUUCAUGUUUGUUUUGGUUAUGGGGAUUGAACCCAGGGGGACUUAAACACUGAGCCAUAUUCCCAGCCAUUUUUUAAAUAUUUUAUUUAGAGGUAGCAUCUCGCUCGCUAUGUUGCUGAGGCUGGCUGAAUUCACGAUCUUCCUGCCUCAGCCUCCCGAGUUGCUGGGAUUAUAGGCGUGCACCGUUAUACUUGGCUCUUUUCAUACUUUUCAUUAUUACUUUUUUGAUUUGUUUUUUUAGGGUGAAUGCCAGACCUUAUUUAUUGGAUUCCCAGAGUCAGGCCUCUGGCCUGGGACUCGGAUAAUAAUUUAGGUGAGAUGAGCCAGGAGAGAGCAUGCUCUUUGAACAUUAGCCACUUACAGCCGGUCAGACCUGAAAGAAGAGGGCAUGAAAUAGGUAUUUAGGAUAAAGAGAGAGACUUAAAGACCCACAAGUCCUUGAGAUGGGAAAGCACAUUUGUAAAUAUUGAGUAAUAUGCCCUUUGGCACAUGCCCUUGUAAAAUGAGGGAAAUGCCCAAAGGAAAACCUGGCAGGAAAUUGUGUAGCUCCACCCUGUCUCCACCAAUUGUCCAGCCCCCAGCACUGGCCCUUUAUAAGUAUUAACAUCCCACACCAGUGGGUGACUGUCUCUCCUUCUGCAGAUUGCCCCCAUUCUCCCUUGAAUGUGUAUCUACUUUCCUAAAUAAACCUCUGUCUAUGCCUUUGACAGGCAUGUGCUGAAACUGUUUUCCAUCACGUAUGCCAAGGAUCCUGUUGGUCUUAAAGUCCAGUUCUCUCUUCUCUCUGGGAACUCCAUGAACCCUUCUUCUGUGACACCUCUUCUUCCAGUGAGAGGCAGAAAAGGAGUUACCCAUGAAGCUGCUGAAAUUACAUUCAUUAUAGGGUCUCUCCCUUCCUUUCUACUGUGGGAUGACAUUGGCUGCUUUAUAUCAUCAUUUACUGAAGCAGAGAAACAAACUUCUGGAUUCUGGCCCCUGAAGUCUGACCCCUGAUAAAUUCUCCCUGACAGUGCAUGGCAGGCUUGUCCUUCCUUUUCCUUGUUGGGGGCUCUUUCCUGAACCCCUCUGGGCUUUUCCCAUUUGUCUGAAGGGAAGUUAGGAUUCUUCUGUGGUGCCAAGUAGACCUAAGGUACACAGAGAAACCGGGUUGGUUUUGGGAGAUCUCAGUUAUGACUUGCAUAGGAAUGGAGAGUGGGAGGAUUUUGUUGAAAUAUAUAUGUAUAUAUAUAUAUAUAUUAGUACCAGGAAUCGAACCCAGCCAUUUAACCAC